GGAGGCUAAAAAUAAACAUUGGUAGUGUUAGAAGUUUUCCUAUAAGGCCAGGUAUUUGUCUUUUCAUAUGCUCAAAGGACCAAAAAAGAGCAUUCUGUAGCUGGGCCCUUCGUUAGGCUUAGUCAUCUUAGUAGUUAUUCUUAGCUCACAGAUGAUAGUCUGGCCCUUUAACUAAAAGUGUAAACAUAUGUCAAAUUUAGGACUUUAAACCGUCUUGGAACAUUAUUUUAUAGUCAUUGCCAAGUAUUUGCCACAACUAGAAGUGAGGACUGCAGAGGAUGAUGGUAAUGCAGUACGUCAUAACCCAGUUAGGACAAGCAUGGCAACUCUAUAAACUGGAAUCACACAGUUGAAGAUUUCAACAUUCUACAAGAAGGAUGCACUGAAUUUGGCAUACUAAGUCACAGCAAGGACAAUGCCUGUUAAAUGCCUGUUGCAGUUCAUUAAGAAAACUGCUAGUUAGGCUUUAAUUGAUUUUCUGAAUUCCUAAACAGCAUAGAAGUAAUCUGUCUCAUCAGAUGACAAACUGUAUUGAGUACAAAAACCCUUGAAGUCCAUUU
Oxyura jamaicensis (ruddy duck) is the source of this 560-nucleotide long non-coding RNA. RefSeq lists it as uncharacterized. The transcript is spliced from 3 exons. The record is from RefSeq and is a predicted model, not a curated record. Lineage: Eukaryota; Metazoa; Chordata; Aves; Anseriformes; Anatidae.